RNAcentral lists this long non-coding RNA (2486 nucleotides) under Citrus sinensis (sweet orange). Its description in RNAcentral is "long non-coding RNA (CSIN_LNC000403)". The record is from RNAcentral. Lineage: Eukaryota; Viridiplantae; Streptophyta; Magnoliopsida; Sapindales; Rutaceae.
GCCCAAAAACACUCACACUCCAAAAAAUAGGUUUUCUUCAACCUUAAACCCUAAUUUACAGAGGGCUAGCUAGCUCUCUUUGCCAUAAAAGCUUGAGUUUGCUAACUUGAGCGUCGGAGUGUGAACGCCGGGUACCCUGGCUUCACCUCUAACCUAUAUUUCACUGUUUUGCAGGCGUGAAGCUCAUUUUGAAGGACACCUCUCUUGUUUCUGACCUUCCACCAUUGUUACCACUCUCUCUCCCCUUCUCACCUCCCCCGAACUUCAGAUACACCGCAUCGCACACAAUAAACUAGUGAGGUAUUCCAUCUCCCCCAAAAAUAUAAAUUCAUUGUUCUUGAUUGAUUUUGGAUUUUCCUACCCCAAAAUCAGUUGAAAACACAGGGCUUCGGGGAAAAUUGGAAGCCGAUAAUAAAUUCCGAUGCAUUCUUUUAUCAUACAUGUCAAUAUGUGUUUUGUUCCCGAGGCUUGUUCUUCAGGUCGGCAUUCUGACACCACCAGUCUUGGACCAAAUUCAGCCACGGCUCUGUAUAAAAUUUUCAACUCUGUCACGGUAAGCAAAUUAGGCAUGUUAUUGAGGAACAAACUCUUUAGACUAGCUUUGCAAUCCUGCACUUUCAGUAUCAAAAAGGAAUUUUCACAGCUAUGAUUCUCACCAUAAAAUCUUAUUAUUUAUUUUUUUUUUCAUUUUUUUCAUUUUUUUCAUCUUAGUGAACGGAAAAGCUAGAAUGGACUGCCACUUAGAAUUGGCUGAAUACUUUUUGACUAGUUUUCUUUGUCAUCAAAAAGCAAGAUUGAUUUCGGCUUACGUUGAUUGUUGAACCAAUCCUUUUUUUUUUUUUUUUUUUUUUCCAGCGUCCAUGUGAAAACCUAUCGAUAAAAGCACGUAUGUCCAGGUGUGAUAACAAAAGCAAGCCACUUUAAGAAAUAAUGCAUGUACUUAGCCAUGGAACAUCAUCUUAUUUUGAAAGGUCAAUUCACUGGCGCCAAGUUUAAAUCAACAUUGUGAAUUAGAUGUAACUAUCUCUAUGAUUUCAAAUCAGUACUAAAAAUUCCAUUUAAUUGUUACCUCAUAAGACUGUGCUUCAAGCUUUUUGCUUGUUCAUAUCAAGUUAUUGUCUGGAUAAUGUUAUUCGGACACUUAUUACCAUAUCUAAUGUUAUAAGUCAUGUGUAAUAUCUAAUGUUCAUUGGUUACUAUUUGUUAAGUAUUACUAAUAUUUAGUUAGUUAAAGGUUGUUGCAAGUUAAUUGUUCUUAUUGGUAGCGUAACAAUUGGACUAGCACCAUCACGAUUUAAGGAUAGAAACAGGCUUUCAUAUCAAUAGCCUCAAAUGGCUUUGUAAGAUGACCCUAGAAAUCAAAAUCUUGAAGAUGUUGUGUCUUGCAAUUCAUGAUGAUUCAUGCGUCUGUUUGUUCUCAUAGAGAAAUCAUUGCCCUCCUUUGCUUUAUUUAUGUUUUAUUGGAUGGUCCCAGAGUCCCAGCAUCUGUUUAGGCUUGUACCACUCUGUUCUAUUUAGGAUUGUGACCUGUUUGCAAGUUAAUUGAUGGUAAUUGUUUGAAGAUUGGUCCCAUCUAUUCGUAGGGCUAACUAGUACUUCCUUUUUGUUAGGAUUGUGGUAACACUUGAUUACAAGUAAAGUAAGAUGAUUCCAUUCUUGGCAUGUUUUAUUGGAUAAGAUUCCUAUGUUAAAGAAAGAUAUUAGUUAUGAUUGUAUCUACAGAGGAAAUGGGAGAACAUUCAGAGAUAAUGGAGAUGGGAGAUCAAAAUUCUUUAUUCAAUGAUAAUCAAACAGUUCAAAGUCUUGACUCCUAAUUGAAAACUUAGGCCUUAUUUAAAUGACAAAAGACCUAAUCAAAAGAAGAAAGAAAGAAUCUAUUGCUAGCAUAGCCAGUUCUGAAUCCCAUUCUGUAUCCAAAUUGCUUCUUUUCAUCUUAGUACGCUUUGAUUUAGCCUAUAUUCUGGCUCCAGGGUUCUCUGUAGUGGGCAAGUUUCCUUCAUAAGAACAUUUUAAAACAUCUGGUUUCCUCACUAACCGGGGUCCAACAGGCACCUUGCUGGUUUUCGGACGAAUAUCCUGCACAAGCUUAAUACAUUAUAGCAUAAAGUCUACAUGUUCAUGAAAUGCUGAGGGUUUAGAAAAGAGCCUAUUGUUUUUAAUGGAAAUGUUACUAUUUUUAUAAAUCUAAUUAUCUGUUCUCGUGAUUUUAAGCUGUAGGCAUGCAUCAUAUAACAAUGUGGUGAAUUGAUUGAUCUUGUGAUUUUAAGCAGUAGGCAUGCAUCAUAUAGCAAUGUGGUGAAUAUUGAAUUUGCUUUGAAAAUGGAGGAUGUGUUAACCUGAUCAAAUAUUGCUGUCGGAACUGCAAGGGUUGCAACAGCAUUGGGAGAGUCAACUAUCCCAGAGAUCCUUCCUUCGCAUGGACAGCAUGAUAAAAGCAGAUAUACCUGACAAUGACCAUUCAGUAAUGUGUCUAUCUUCACAUGCGC